RNAcentral lists this ribosomal RNA (888 nucleotides) under uncultured fungus. Its description in RNAcentral is "SSU rRNA". It matches the Rfam family "Eukaryotic small subunit ribosomal RNA", at positions 881 to 1790 of the family's 1831-position model. The record is from RNAcentral. Lineage: Eukaryota; Fungi.
GUGGGGGGCAUUUGUAUUCCGUCGUCAGAGUGAAAAUUCUUGGAUUGCCGGAAGACAAACUACUGCGAAAGCAUUUGCCAAGGAUGUUUUCAUUGAUCAAGAACGAAGGAAGGGGGAUCGAAAACGAUUAGAUACCGUUGUAGUCUCUUCUGUAAACUAUGCCAAUUGGGGAUCGGUACAGGAUUUUUAAUGACUGUAUCGGCACCCGAAGAGAAAUCUUUAAAUGAGGUUCGGGGGGGAGUAUGGUCGCAAGGCUGAAACUUAAAGGAAUUGACGGAAGGGCACCACCAGGUGUGGAGCCUGCGGCUUAAUUUGACUCAACACGGGGAAACUCACCAGGUCCAGACACAAUAAGGAUUGACAGAUUGAUAGCUCUUUCUUGAUCUUGUGGUUGGUGGUGCAUGGCCGUUCUUAGUUGGUGGAGUGAUUUGUCUGGUUAAUUCCGAUAACGAACGAGACCUUAACCUGCUAAAUAGACCAGCCGGCUUUGGCUAGCUGCUGUCUUCUUAGAGGGACUAUCAGCGUUUAGCUGAUGGAAGUUUGAGGCAAUAACAGGUCUGUGAUGCCCUUAGAUGUUCUGGGCCGCACGCGCGCUACACUGACAGAGCCAGCGAGUCUACCACCUUUGCCGGAAGGCAUGGGUAAUCUUGUGAAACUCUGUCGUGAUGGGGAUAGAACAUUGCAAUUAUUGUUCUUCAACGAGGAAUACCUAGUAAGCGUGAUUCAUCAGAUCGCGUUGAUUACGUCCCUGCCCUUUGUACACACCGCCCGUCGCUACUACCGAUUGAAUGGCUUAGUGAGGCCUCCGGAUUGGCUAUUGGGAGCUCGCGAGAGCACCCGACUGCCGAGAAGUUGUACGAACUUGGUCAUUUAGAGGAAGUAAAAGUC